Long non-coding RNA from Diospyros lotus (date-plum), 1021 nucleotides. RefSeq lists it as uncharacterized. The transcript has 3 exons. Lineage: Eukaryota; Viridiplantae; Streptophyta; Magnoliopsida; Ericales; Ebenaceae. The record is from RefSeq and is a predicted model, not a curated record.
CAAGCAUCAAUUAGUUGUUAAGCAUGUUUGUUGGCGUCUGAUUUGACCUGCAUUUAUCUAAUUGUUAGGUCUGCUCUGGCGAAUUUGGAGCCAACCCAUCAUUGCUGGAAGCGGAAAGAAUGCACAUGACAUGGUUACUACGCGUUAACAAGAAUGUUUGAUUGACAUUUUCACAUUCUACGGCUGGUUAAACUUUUCAGAGAACGGAAAUCUACUGCUUCCCGGAUUUACUAGAACACUAGCCUCUCCGGCCUCCUCUCCACAGCCCUUUCUCGCCGAUUUGGAGCUUCGAUCGGAAGAAUUUGUGUUUCGAAGAGUCGGACUCUGGAGAUUCCGCUGGAGAUUCAGGGUUGGAUGGUUUGAAGACUGGACAUCCUUCGGAAGGAAAAGGCCACUGAAGCUGCUCAUCCUAGUGAAGAGGUGAUAGUCAUUUCUUUUGGCAGGACAUAUGAACAAACUGUGCUGUGCCUUAUGUAUGUAUGACCAAACCAAUUAACCUUAAUUGAGCAAAUCAUGCUAGAUGCUGAGCUACAUGCUGGAAUGACAUAUUAAGAAGAUGGUUUUCUCCUCAUUAUGGGAUGAUUAUUUCUAGUUAUCAUUAUAUAAAUAUGGCACUUGCUUAUAUCUAUUUUUGGUGUAGCUAAACAGAGCCUCACAUCCAGGUCAAGAGAAAAUCUUUAACUUUAUGAAUCAAUCUGGCGUCCCCCCAAAUCAACUGAUAUGGGUUUUACCAUAUCACCAUGUCACCUAUAGCAGCAUCUAGCUCCUGAUUGUUACUGUUUGCUAAAAAACGACCUCUGUGUGUAACCAAAUACUGAAGCUAUAGAAAAAUGUAAGCAGUAUUUGGAGGCAAUUAGUUGGCCAGAAGUAAUAAAAAUUUCAAAAUACAAACACCCAGUAAUCAGGAAAAUCCCAGAGACACUGCUCAAUUCUGUUUGUUGAUAAAACAUGAUUAAACUUGGUUCGAGUUUUUUUGGCUAUAAUUUGGAAAAUUAGAUAAAUUCAGAAAAAAUUCUAGUGC